ACCCGCGGAAACUGGGUAUAAUCCCCGCAUAGAUCUCGGUCGCUGGAAUGCCCCGAUAUCGAAAGCUCCGGCGCCAUAUGAUGGGUCUGCGGCCUAUCAGGUGGUACUGGGUGUAUCGUACCUACUAACCUACGACGCGUACGGGUUGUGAGAGCCAGAGCCCGGAGAUGGAUUCUGAGACACGAAUCCAGGCCCUACGGGGUG
Molecule: ribosomal RNA, 204 nt
Filed under: uncultured euryarchaeote
Lineage: Archaea; Methanobacteriati; Methanobacteriota
Description: partial 16S ribosomal RNA
Rfam family: Archaeal small subunit ribosomal RNA
Source: RNAcentral